UGCUAACUUCAUGGAAGAUGGUAAUAGGA
RNAcentral lists this non-coding RNA (29 nucleotides) under Homo sapiens (human). The record is from RNAcentral. Lineage: Eukaryota; Metazoa; Chordata; Mammalia; Primates; Hominidae.